AAGGAACAAUUGGGGUGAUUCAGAAAAUAACGGGAGAGGUGAAAAUCCAUGAUCGCUAUAAGAUGCACGAGAGCGAAAGCAUUUCACUCAACUGUGUCCAUUAAUCAAGAACGAAAGUUAGGGGAUCGAAGACGAUCAGAUACCGUCGUAGUCCUAACUAUAAACGAUGUCAACCAAGGAUUGGAUGAAAUUCAGAUGUACAAAGAUGAAGAAGCAUUGUUUCUUAAUCUGAGUAUAUCAAUAUUACCUUGUUCAGAACUUAAAGAGAAAUCUUGAGUUUAUGGACUUCAGGGGGAGUAUGGUCACAAGGCUGAAACUUAAAGGAAUUGACGGAAGGGCACACCAGGAGUGGAGCCUGCGGCUUAAUUUGACUCAACACGGGAAAACUUACCAAGACCGAACAGUAGAAGGAAUGACAGAUUAAGA
This 426-nucleotide ribosomal RNA is filed under the name Entamoeba histolytica. RNAcentral's name for it is "SSU rRNA". It matches the Rfam family "Eukaryotic small subunit ribosomal RNA", at positions 873 to 1253 of the family's 1831-position model. The record is from RNAcentral. Lineage: Eukaryota; Evosea; Mastigamoebida; Endamoebidae.